UUUAAAGUUAAUUUUAUUAAUAAAAAUUCGUUUUUUGAUAAUUAAUUAUAUAUAAAAAUCAUUAAGGGUGUUAUAGAUAUUAACCGCUUUAACUUUCAACGUAAGAGCUCGAUUCCAAAAAAUUACUUCGCAAAUAAUAGUAUAGAUACAGUUUACUCUCUCCUGAGUCAUGCCACAUGGGAUUCCAUGUCAUCAAUUAGGUGCAGAAGAGCGCGACACGUGUCCACUUAAACUAAACGCUGAGUUUCAUUUAUUCUGGUGUCCAUUCCGUUUGGGCUUUAGUGUGUAUUCGGGCUUAAUGAAACCCAACCCGGAUAAAGAGUAACUCCAGUUGUUAUGGAAACGCGUUGUUUCUGAUUUAGGGUUCAACACGUUCUUCAUUGAGAGCUAAGCUCAACCUAAGGUUUCCAUGGCGUUGUUUCAUCUCCUUCCUAACAAUCCGAAGAGCUAUCAGUUACAGAUUCAUCUUCUUAAAUCCACCACCCACGUUCUACCUGUUCUUUCAUCUUCUUCCUAACAAUCCCAAACGCUAUACAGAUUCAUCCUCUUAAAUCCACCAUCCACGAUCUACCUUGAAUGUGAUCUUCACGCAAGGCCGUGGAACCUUGACUAUAAAAAGACCGGACGCGUACGGCACAGUAGGAGGAGGAAAGCGGUAGCAACGGAGGAGAGGAGGAUCAAGGCAAUGAGGGACCAGCCGUGUCCGGUUUGAAUCCGGUUGUUAUUUGUUCAUUGUCUUCCCAUUUACAAGCGACUGGGUUCUAUGUUUUACUUAAACCUCUCGGAUUCACUUAAAACUUCAUUAUAUUCAGCUCCAUGUGCCUGUCAAGUUCUUUCUUUUGUUUAAGGCGGACACCGCCAAAGGUGCAGAGAUGUAUAAGGUCAUCAAAGAGACUACUAAUCACCGCAGGGUGAAGUUCACAGAUUUAUAAUGUGGUCUGGUGGGUGCUCUGUAGAGUUGUGUUGUAUCAGCUGAAGUUUAGCUGCUUGGUGGAGCUUCUUUGGGUGUGAUAAAGCUGUGAGAUCUAGAAGAAACAAAGAGUUAGUUGAUAAAUUUCAUGUGCUCCUUUUGAAGAAUUGUUUCUCCUUAUUGUCAAAUGUGGAUUAUGGGUAUUUCUUUCGUACAUAUCUAUCAUUUACUUUAAAUUAAUGAGGUCCACCA
Brassica napus (rape) is the source of this 1162-nucleotide long non-coding RNA. RefSeq lists it as uncharacterized. Lineage: Eukaryota; Viridiplantae; Streptophyta; Magnoliopsida; Brassicales; Brassicaceae. The transcript has 4 exons. The record is from RefSeq and is a predicted model, not a curated record.